RNAcentral lists this unclassified non-coding RNA (237 nucleotides) under uncultured Alphaproteobacteria bacterium. RNAcentral's name for it is "contains 16S-23S intergenic spacer region". The record is from RNAcentral. Lineage: Bacteria; Pseudomonadati; Pseudomonadota; Alphaproteobacteria.
UCCCCGUUCACCGGGGCGGUCCCCUCAGAGUGCCCGGCAUAUGUCAAACCCAGGUAAGGUUCUUCGCGUUGCAUCGAAUUAAACCACAUGCUCCACCGCUUGUGCGGGCCCCCGUCAAUUCCUUUGAGUUUUAAUCUUGCGACCGUACUCCCCAGGCGGGGUGCUUAAUGCGUUUGCUGCGCCACCGACCGGCAUGCCGACCGACGGCUAGCACCCAUAGUUUACGGCGUGGACUAC